This is a long non-coding RNA of Poecilia latipinna (sailfin molly), 1753 nucleotides long. RefSeq lists it as uncharacterized. Lineage: Eukaryota; Metazoa; Chordata; Actinopteri; Cyprinodontiformes; Poeciliidae. The record is from RefSeq and is a predicted model, not a curated record. The transcript is spliced from 3 exons.
UUUUUUGUGACUUGGUUUUUCCCAAUUUGGAUUCAAAAACUUAAAAAAAAAAAAAAAAAAAAAAAACAGAAAAAACUCAAACAGUGCCUGUAAGCAGUAUCAGAUGGCUAUUCAUUACUAAACCAUUGUUUUUAGUUUUUUUUUUUUUUUGUAUAAAAACAUGUUAGUUCUUUGGUAGAGAAUUUUUCAAACUGGUCAUUUUGGAGGAACUUCUUUGAUCUGAUCCCUGGACGGCAGGCCUGGAAAGGCCCAGUGUGGAAUAUGGGAGCAGAAAGGACAAGAAGGAUGGAACAGACUCUCAGGGAGGAGAGACUCCGCCUGCAGCGAUUGCCUCACUCCGCAUGGGCCACCAUCCCUCUUUGGAUCACCUUUGCAACGAUUAUUCCCUCUUCAACCUCUUCUUCUUCUUGGACCCAAAAUGCUUUGCUAAAGCUGGUAAAAUGGAACCAAAUCAACUGUUCAAUGGAUUUGGUCCCCUUCAACCAGCUGUAGCUGUGCAUUGAUCACUCCGAGGAGCCGACUGACAGCCACACAGUGGGACAAAAGGGACGCCUCGUUUUCCUCUCCACACAUAAACUCAUUCUCAGCACCGGCGACUGUGUGCAUUUAUCUCUGUUAAACAGAUUACCAGAAGCAAUUUACUUAAUCUGACUUAAACAAGCCAAGUAAGUAAUUAUAGAUAUCUUAGUGCAUGCAUUGUUAUGCUGUGUAAAGCUGUAACUGUAUUGUCCUUUGGAGAAUUGAAUUGUUCUUUGGAGAUUUUCCCCAAAAGUCCACUGAGAGGUGAUGCUAUAAGAAGUAAAAUGGCUGAAACUGUGUGAGAAAGGUGCUCAGGUUUGUGUGCUUAUGUGUGUAUAAAUAUCAGUUUAAUAAAGCCUUAUUCUGAACUUCAAAACCAACUAAGUAUGUGCUUACAAAGCGGUGCUGGAGCUCAUAAGUAAUAAAGUUGUUCUCAUCAAGUGAUCGUGAUGUUUUUAAUAAGAACACGACUGGGAUCCAGCUGGUUCCUGGGCUUGAAUUACAUCCAAAGUUUAAUUGACAUUAACAUCAUGCUGAGCGGCAGAUUUAUGCAAGACCAACGCAAUCAUUAUCAGUGGAAAUUGUUCUGUUACACCUGCAGUUUUUCAUCCCUUUGUGAUAAAGGCCAGUUUUUGACAUUCUUGGUUAAGAUAUGUAUAUUUACAUUUACCAAAUCCUUUUGCACAUGGUAAAGGACUAAAAUUUGAGUAGAUUUAUUUAAUUGGGGAUGGGGGGGGGGGUCAUCUUUGAUACAGUUAAUAUCUUCCAGGUUGGUCACCCUUACUUCACCGUUCAACAGUGUAGUUGUUUAGUGUUGGUAUACCAGCAGUUUCUAUUCAGUUGCAUCUUUUCCAACUGUAGGCAGGACUAUGAUGUAGCACAUGUCAUUUUCUAAAUAAUCUGACAGUUUUAAGCAUCAUCCCUCUCCAUUAAAGUGGUUUUAGUCAGAGUGUCUUUUCGGAAUUCCGGCCCUUCAGACAAUCAGAGCUUACCACUUAAAAUCAAUUGGAAAAACAUUUAAAGUAUUUUGAAUAAUAAUGCCUUAUCCACCAUGUGACCAUCUGUGCCUUUCCAGCUUAGUUUAGUUUGCAUUAAUUCAUAUACUUUUUAUAACUGUGUCAUAGUUUCCUCGUUUUGUUUUGUGUUUCUUAUUGUUAAGUCAUUUUAACCUUGCUUGUAUAACCUUUGUUUUUAACAUUGUCCCUGGACGACAGAUGAAAGAUUGUCCUUUGAU